AUGGCACAUGUAUACAUAUGUAACUAAACUGCACGUUGUGCACAUAUGCCCUAAAACUUAAAGUACAAAAAAAAGUCAUCAAACAGGUGGUAAUUUUAAAACAUGUCUUUUCCAGGCAGCAAAUUUUCUGAAUGUAUCGCAAAAGAAGAUAAAUUGUGUGUCUAUGUAGAUCAUGUCAAUGAAAUAAACAAUAAAGGUUACUUAUUGGAAUAUUGAAAGUGGUUGAUAAUAAAUUAAUUACUUAUAUUUAUGGUAAAAGCAAUAAACUUGAUUUUUAGGGGGUUCAAUGACUUCCUGAAAAUAUCCUCUCACAGAUUUUCUCAGAGUGUCUAGUUGGCAAAAGCACAGCUCCAAAUAGCUAUUUCUGUCAAUGUCUACAGAAUAUUUACAGUUCGGUUUCCAAAAGUUUCCAUUUAUACUGACCUUACAAAUUUGUAAAAUGAAUGCCCAACAGGAAAAAAUAUUAAAUGAUAAAAUUAAUUGGAUCCUACAAGUGAAAAUCUAGGCAAGGAAAAUCUUCCUUCUUAAUGAAUGAUUUUUACGUCUCUUCAUUCUUGUCCUUCUAGGUAGAGCAACACUCUGGAGACCUUCUUUUGAGGCAUUUCACCACCAGAGUAAGUGUGAUGUAUGAAUAAUUAGUCCACCCACAGGCAGCUGGUGAAAUUGAAUUGGAAGUUAUUUCUUAACUGGCAUAUCUUGGAGUAAAAUUCAU
RNAcentral lists this long non-coding RNA (712 nucleotides) under Homo sapiens (human). Its description in RNAcentral is "HSALNT0288231". Lineage: Eukaryota; Metazoa; Chordata; Mammalia; Primates; Hominidae. The record is from RNAcentral.